UUUCCGUAGGUGAACCUGCGGAAGGAUCAUUACUGAGUUAGGGUCUCAUCUCGAGCCCGAAUCUCCAACCCUUUGUAUAAAACACUUUGUUGCUUUGGCAGGCCCGUCUGAAAAUCCUUUAACCGGGAUCGACGACCGCCGGGGGCGUUUAGUCACCUCUGGCCAGUGCUUGCCGAUAGCCUAUUCAAAAUUCUUUAUUAAAUCAUGUCUGAAAAAUUAUAACUAAAUAUAAUUAAAACUUUUAACAACGGAUCUCUUGGUUCUGGCAUCGAUGAAGAACGCAGCGAAAUGCGAUAAGUAAUGUGAAUUGCAGAAUUCAGUGAAUCAUCGAAUCUUUGAACGCACAUUGCGCCCUUUGGUAUUCCGAAGGGCAUGCCUGUUCGAGCGUCAUUAUCAACCCUCAAGCUCGGCUUGUUAUUGGGCUCUUAUCGUUAAAGAUAGGCCCGAAAGAUAAUGGCGGCGUCAUAAAUGACCCCAGAUGCAGCGAGCUUAUAGCAUACAUCGAAAGGUUUUUAUGGCCCGGCCUUAACGAGAAGCAAUUCUCAAUUUAUUUAAAGGUUGACCUCGGAUCAGGUAGGAAUACCCGCUGAACUUAAAGCAUAUCAAUAAGCGG
This 613-nucleotide ribosomal RNA is filed under the name Phaeomoniella sp. RNAcentral describes it as "eukaryotic LSU rRNA". The stretch from base 237 to 390 matches the Rfam family "5.8S ribosomal RNA". The record is from RNAcentral. Lineage: Eukaryota; Fungi; Ascomycota; Eurotiomycetes; Phaeomoniellales; Phaeomoniellaceae.